CAGUCGCCACGGGAAUACGUAGGGUGCAAGCGUUAAUCGGAAUUACUGGGCGUAAAGCGUGCGCAGGCGGUUAUUCAAGACAGAUGUGAAAUCCCCGGGCUCAACCUGGGAACUGCAUUUGUGACUGGAUGACUAGAGUACGGCAGAGGGGGAUGGAAUUCCGCGUGUAGCAGUGAAAUGCGUAGAUAUGCGGAGGAACACCGAUGGCGAAGGCAAUCCCCUGGGCCUGUACUGACGCUCAUGCACGAAAGCGUGGUGAGCAAACAGGAUUAGAUACCCCAGUAGUCCCUGUCUCUUAUAC
RNAcentral lists this ribosomal RNA (301 nucleotides) under uncultured bacterium. Its description in RNAcentral is "partial 16S ribosomal RNA". It matches the Rfam family "Bacterial small subunit ribosomal RNA", at positions 509 to 807 of the family's 1533-position model. The record is from RNAcentral.